AUUCCAGCUCCAAUAGCGUAUAUUAAAGUUGUUGCAGUUAAAAAGCUCGUAGUUGGAUUUCUGGGAGGGUGGCGAUGUCCGCUUAACGUGUGUGCAGCGGCGCCCUUCCAUCCUUCUGUUAGCGUCUCUUGGCAUUCAUUUGCUGGUGGCGGGCUCAGAUAUUUUACCUUGAGAAAAUUAGAGUGUUUCAGGCAGGCUAGGCCGGAAUACAUUAGCAUGGAAUAAUGGAAUAGGACUACGGUCUCUUUGUUGGUUUGAGGGACUGCAGUAAUGAUUAAUAGGGAUAGUUGGGGGCAUUAGUAUUUAAUUGUCAGAGGUGAAAUUCUCAGAUUUGUUAAAGACUAACUUAUGCGAAAGCAUUUGCCAAGGAUGUUUUCAUCA
RNAcentral lists this ribosomal RNA (381 nucleotides) under Strombidiidae sp. RNAcentral describes it as "partial small subunit ribosomal RNA". It matches the Rfam family "Eukaryotic small subunit ribosomal RNA", at positions 582 to 975 of the family's 1831-position model. Lineage: Eukaryota; Ciliophora; Spirotrichea; Strombidiidae. The record is from RNAcentral.